Molecule: long non-coding RNA, 706 nt
Organism: Asparagus officinalis (garden asparagus)
Lineage: Eukaryota; Viridiplantae; Streptophyta; Magnoliopsida; Asparagales; Asparagaceae
Exons: 3
Source: RefSeq, a predicted model, not a curated record
UAUGCUCCUUCCUCCUACUCUACACCAUAAAAACUCCUUCCUUCCUCCAAGCCUUCCUCUAUCCGAUCUAUCUUUUCCGCUGAGUAGAUGGAGGAUAGGAGAAGAGAUCGAUCUCAGGGGGUGCUCGCGCAUCAAAAGGUGAUCGGUCACUCAAUUGAAGUUAGGAAAGUCUGGAGUUUGAAACAAAGGAUUUGGUGAUGAACCUCCACCUUGUUGCCCCGAAGUAUGAAGAUACUUACCAGGGGACGACAGAAAAAACACUUCAAUUUGUAGUUUAUUUCCUCUCUCUCCAUAUUGAUUUUGUUUUGAGCUAUCUCCUACAGACCUCACUUCCCUUUACCUUACCUUUGCCCCUAAAAACUAGCAAAUCACUUUAGAUUUUCAUCCUUUCCUUUACUUUACUUCCUCCUCUACCAAACCAAAGUGGUUUGCAGCUCAACUCUCGGUAUAUAUAAUAUGAAUGAAAUGGGCUAAAAUCCACUUAAGUGGACAAUAGCUAUCGUGCAUUGAACUUUUUUUUUUAUUCAUUGAUUUUGCGUUGAGUUUCAUGCUAGUUUGUGAUACACGCAAGUUACUUAUAUCUAGUAUAUCGUAGGUCAUCCCUCUCAUGUCUGUGUAACUAUUAGUGCAUACUGUAUCAUUAAUGGUCUGUCUUUGACAUCAAUCUACUGCAUCAUUUUCAGUCUGUCUUUGACAUCUUUCUCUU